Molecule: ribosomal RNA, 291 nt
Filed under: uncultured bacterium
Lineage: Bacteria
Description: partial 16S ribosomal RNA
Rfam family: Bacterial small subunit ribosomal RNA
Source: RNAcentral
GUGCCAGCCGCCGCGGUAAUACGGAGGGGGCUAGCGUUGUUCGGAAUUACUGGGCGUGAAGCGCGCGUAGGCGGCUUUGCAAGUCAGAGGUGAAAGCCCGGGGCUCAACCCCGGAAUUGCCUUUGAGACUGCAUCGCUAGAACGUCGGAGAGGUAAGUGGAAUUCCGAGUGUAGAGGUGAAAUUCGUAGAUAUUCGGAAGAACACCAGUGGCGAAGGCGACUUACUGGACGACUGUUGACGCUGAGGUGCGAAAGCGUGGGGAGCAAACAGGAUUAGAUACCCUUGUAGCC